This 378-nucleotide unclassified non-coding RNA is filed under the name plant metagenome. RNAcentral's name for it is "partial contains 5.8S ribosomal RNA, internal transcribed spacer 2, and large subunit ribosomal RNA". The stretch from base 1 to 105 matches the Rfam family "5.8S ribosomal RNA", at positions 50 to 154 of the family's 154-position model. The record is from RNAcentral.
GAAAUGCGAUAAGUAAUGUGAAUUGCAGAAUUCAGUGAAUCAUCGAAUCUUUGAACGCACCUUGCGCUCCUUGGUAUUCCUUGGAGCAUGCCUGUUUGAGUAUCAUGAAAUCUUCAAAGUAAAUCUUUUGUUAACUCAAUUGGUUUCUACUUUGGUAUUGGAGGUCUUUGCAGCUUCACACCUGCUCCUCUUUGUUCAUUAGCUGGAUCUCAGUGUUAUGCUUGGUUCCACUCGGCGUGAUAAGUUAUCUAUCGCUGAGGACACUGUAAAGGGUGGCCAAGGUAAAUGCAGAUGAACCGCUUCUAAUAGUCCAUUGACUUGGACAAUACUUUUAUGAUCUGAUCUCAAAUCAGGUAGGACUACCCACUGAACUUAAGC